CCUACGGGUGGCAGCAGUGAGGAAUAUUGGUCAAUGGACGCAAGUCUGAACCAGCCAUGCCGCGUGCAGGAAGACGGCUCUAUGAGUUGUAAACUGCUUUUGUACGAGGGUAAACGCAGGUACGUGUAUCUGUCUGAAAGUAUUUUACGAAUAAGGAUCGGCUAACUCCGUGCCAGCAGCCGCGGUAAUACGGAGGAUUCAAGCGUUAUCCGGAUUUAUUGGGUUUAAAGGGUGCGUAGGCGGUCUGAUAAGUUAGUGGUGAAAGCGUGAGGCUCAACUUCGGAAUUGCCUGUGAUACUGUCAGGCGAGAGAAUAGUUGCGGUAGGCGGAA
RNAcentral lists this ribosomal RNA (331 nucleotides) under uncultured bacterium. RNAcentral describes it as "partial 16S ribosomal RNA". It matches the Rfam family "Bacterial small subunit ribosomal RNA", at positions 338 to 666 of the family's 1533-position model. The record is from RNAcentral.